UCCAAAUGUUCUGUAUCUGUACACUGUGACAUACAAUAUCUCUUUAUGAAGUUCUUGCUUGGGUGGUCCACCAUUACUAAGACUUUAACGUCAAGUGCGGGAUCGUUUCCACUACCGCAAGUUAUGGUGGGCGGUCAGUCAAUUGAAAACUUUGGAUUGUGCACUGGUUGUGUCUAGGUGAUAAUGGAAGAUCAUUUACGGAAACUUUUGAUAAUGGUGUAAUCAGUGAAACUGGGGUUGAUUGUUGGAGUGGAAUUCACCUAGAAAUGGUAAGAAAAAAAAACUCCCAGUCCUCAGGUAUGCACUUUCAUGUAAUUACAUACUAAACAAGAAAUCGGGAGCAGACUAACUUUUGAGCGUUCCAUUAAUUAACAUUCCUCGAAUCUGUACUGUGUUUUAUAAGGUUUUUUUUUUACUAGUAAGCUAGGGUUAUGGCAAACCCUCACCAGAUUUCAUUAAUGUAAUCUUUGAUACAUCUCUCCAUUCCUGUCCCUCUCUAGAAUUACAUGUAAGUUAUGCUCAUAAGGGCCAGUAAAUAUAGUACACUCAGUUUCACUAUUCCCUUCAAGUCCGGCAAUUAGAUCCGCUGCUUGAUUACAUUCUCUGAAGGUAUGCCUGAUUGAGAACUUCUGAAAUUUUGAGCAAUCUCUUAUGAUUCCCACAGUCUGAUCCUUGCAGUACCAAGGAGCUGUUUCCUGUUCAGUGAUGAUCCUCUGAGCUCUUAAUGAAUCUGUGGCCACUUCUAUGAACUCAAUCUCCAGCAUCUCUGCCACCUUGAGACCCAUCUCUAUGCCAUUAAGUUCCUGUUGAAUCACAGAAUUACUAGGGAAACUACCAUGAUAUGCCAUCAAUGUGUUCCCUGUAGAAUCCCUAAUUAAGCCACCAUAUUCUGUACUGGUACUGCUGACUGCUCCAUCCGUAUUGAUCAAGACAAUAUCACCAACUGGUUUCUGCCAUGAACACAUAAUGAUGGGCUUUGCUCUGUAGGUAGGCAAUACUCCAAUUCUGUCCAGCAACAUCUUAGUUUUAUAAGAAUCAUUGAUUUCUUCUAUCUGAACUUGUAAAUAUGCCACCAUGUCUCUCAUCAGCCUUUCCUUUAUAAGUUGCUUCCCUGUUUCAUGGCAGAAACCAGUUGGUGAUGAUGUCAAAUUACCUCAUCAUCUAACAUAGGCAGCCCGAAGAGACUGCAAUUAACUUGGCUGGAUGUGUAAUGUUUUAAUUAUUUACUCCAAACAUGACACCAAGUUUAAUUACCUUAUCAUCUAACAUAGGCACACCCCAAAAGCGUGUGUAGCCCAAAAUGUUCCAUUUAGAUUUAAUGAAUGCUUGGCUUGGGACUUAAAGCUCAGAAGGCAGCCAAGGGAUUGGGAAGUUAACCAGGUUCAGGAGCUGACUGAGACUCUCAGAAACCAGGUGUUAAGACUGUAGUGAUGCAGCUGAUACAUGGUGGUGGAAGUUAGAAAUUAUAGGUCAGUUCUCUGUUUCUAGCUUCGCAGACUUUUGCAACAGCAACACAGGAACACAAAUGGGAUCAUUCUGCGCGCCCCCCUUUCCUACAUAAACAUGUCUGGACAUUUAAGUUACCUCCAAAGAUUUAAGUUUUUGUGUGGGUGGUCCUCCAUAACAUACUGCAGACUUUGCAACAUUUGAAUCAAAGAGGCCACAUAUGUUAGAUAUAUGCAAUGGACAUGAAGAAACAAUGGUGCACCUCCUUAUUCAGUGUCCAACAACUACGAUUAUCUGGGAUUUCUUUACCACAGAAUUUAUGAACACUGGGCAACUCCUUGCAAACUGUCCUACUGUGGGAACUUUGUUAAUGAAUUGGCCACGAAGACAAAGCCAAGGUAUGGGCAACAAAAUUUGGUGUUAUGUUCCUUAUGCAGUUUUAUGGAGUGUCUGGAUCAUGUGUUAUGAUAUUAUAUUCAAGAACAAGCUAAGAGCUUGAUGUAAACAGGGUGUGCAAUUAUAUAAGGAGAAUCAUUUCGAAGAAUUGAUCAUAAAUUGGAGUGGUAUUCUGAGCUGCUGCUCUUGAACCAGGUUAGGGAUACAAGUACUGAGUAUUUCUUUUCACUAGCUGCUAAUGCUUGAUAGUGCUGCAGAGUUCACAAUACAAAUGUUGACUGUUGAGUAUUUCUUUUUCUUUUCUGUUUGUUCUAAAAGGUGUCUUGGUGAAAUUCUGCUUCACCAAGCCUGACAGUACAUUUUGUAUGCUGAUCAGGAUUGUAAACCUUUUUGGAAAAUAAAUAAAACUAC
This 2253-nucleotide long non-coding RNA is filed under the name Aquilegia coerulea. Its description in RNAcentral is "long non-coding RNA (ACOE_LNC000271)". The record is from RNAcentral. Lineage: Eukaryota; Viridiplantae; Streptophyta; Magnoliopsida; Ranunculales; Ranunculaceae.